GGCAGACCCUAUGUGGGUAAGGAGCACUGUGACAGAGGGAGAAGAGCAAGAGAGAAGAAACCACACGGUGGCUCUUAAAGUUGCUGUUUAGAAGAGAGACAUGUCAUUUCCACUCACAUUUCACUGCUUUUAUAGAUUGGUGAGGACAAAUUGGCAUAGUCUCAGGGUCAGAGUUUCCCUUCAACUUCCUCUCUCCUAAAAAGUCAUAUUGAAGAACUUCCCUGGCGGUCCAGUGGUUAAGAUUCUGUGCUUCCACUGCAGGGGUCAUGGGUUUGAUCCCUGGUCAGGAAACGAAGAUCCUGCAUGCCAUGUGAUGCAGCCUAAAUAAAUAAAUA
Molecule: non-coding RNA, 335 nt
Organism: Kogia breviceps (pygmy sperm whale)
Lineage: Eukaryota; Metazoa; Chordata; Mammalia; Artiodactyla; Physeteridae
Source: RefSeq, a predicted model, not a curated record